Molecule: ribosomal RNA, 104 nt
Filed under: uncultured bacterium
Lineage: Bacteria
Description: partial 16S ribosomal RNA
Rfam family: Bacterial small subunit ribosomal RNA
Source: RNAcentral
CCUUGUACACACCGCCCGCCACACCAUGGGAGUGGGUUGCAAAAGAAGUAGGUAGCUUAACCUUCGGGAGGGCGCUUACCACUUUGUGAUUCAUGACUGGGGUG